RNAcentral lists this ribosomal RNA (446 nucleotides) under uncultured bacterium. Its description in RNAcentral is "bacterial SSU rRNA". It matches the Rfam family "Bacterial small subunit ribosomal RNA", at positions 331 to 793 of the family's 1533-position model. The record is from RNAcentral.
CCAGACUCCUACGGGAGGCAGCAGUGGGGAAUAUUGGGCAAUGGAGGGAACUCUGACCCAGCAACGCCGCGUGAAGGAUGAAGGUUUUCGGAUUGUAAACUGCUGUCGCGAGGGAUGAAGAAUGACGGUACCUCGUAAGAAAGCCCCGGCAAACUACGUGCCAGCAGCCGCGGUAAUACGUAGGGGGCGAGCGUUGUCCGGAUUUAUUGGGUGUAAAGGGCGUGUAGGCGGGAAUGCAAGUCAGAUGUGAAAACUAUGGGCUCAACCCAUAGCCUGCAUUUGAAACUGUAUUUCUUGAGUGCUGGAGAGGCAAUCGGAAUUCCGUGUGUAGCGGUGAAAUGCGUAGAUAUACGGAGGAACACCAGUGGCGAAGGCGGAUUGCUGGACAGUAACUGACGCUGAGGCGCGAAAGCGUGGGGAGCAAACAGGAUUAGAUACCCCAGUAC